This 402-nucleotide ribosomal RNA is filed under the name uncultured bacterium. Its description in RNAcentral is "bacterial SSU rRNA". It matches the Rfam family "Bacterial small subunit ribosomal RNA", at positions 958 to 1359 of the family's 1533-position model. The record is from RNAcentral.
AACGCGAAGAACCUUACCAAAUCUUGACAUCCUUUGAAAACUCUAGAGAUAGAGCCUUCCCCUUCGGGGGACAAAGUGACAGGUGGUGCAUGGUUGUCGUCAGCUCGUGUCGUGAGAUGUUGGGUUAAGUCCCGCAACGAGCGCAACCCUUAAGCUUAGUUGCCAUCAUUAAGUUGGGCACUCUAGGUUGACUGCCGGUGACAAACCGGAGGAAGGUGGGGAUGACGUCAAAUCAUCAUGCCCCUUAUGAUUUGGGCUACACACGUGCUACAAUGGACAAUACAAAGGGCAGCUAAACCGCGAGGUCAUGCAAAUCCCAUAAAGUUGUUCUCAGUUCGGAUUGUAGUCUGCAACUCGACUACAUGAAGCUGGAAUCGCUAGUAAUCGUAGAUCAGCAUGCUA